AUGGAAGUAUAUCCAUGCAUUUCACUAAACUGUGGUUUGAAAGAAUCCUGUCUGAAGAGCACAUUUUAUGUCUCUACAACACAAAUAUCCUUUGGUUUUAAUGGAAGCUUUACUGGCCUAAGGUUGGACAGUCUUCAUCUGGCACAAAAAGAGUGGCAGGAUUCCUUGCUUCUACUGAUCUCUGAUCAUAUUGUAAAAUUUUUCCUUUGCCUGUUGGAGAUCAGCUGUUCUCAGUGA
RNAcentral lists this long non-coding RNA (237 nucleotides) under Numida meleagris (helmeted guineafowl). RNAcentral's name for it is "lncRNA (ENSNMEG00000007019.1)". Lineage: Eukaryota; Metazoa; Chordata; Aves; Galliformes; Numididae. The record is from RNAcentral.